This 360-nucleotide ribosomal RNA is filed under the name uncultured eukaryote. RNAcentral's name for it is "bacterial SSU rRNA". It matches the Rfam family "Eukaryotic small subunit ribosomal RNA", at positions 592 to 955 of the family's 1831-position model. The record is from RNAcentral.
CAAUAGCGUAUAUUAAAGUUGUUGCAGUUAAAAGCUCGUAGUUGGAUUUCUGGUUGGAGCGACCGGUCGGGCAUUGAUUUGUCUGCACUGGAGUCGGUUCCGUCCAUCCUCUCGGAAAGUGCGUAUGGCAUUAAGUUGUCGUGCGUAUGAUCCGGGUCUUUUACUGUGAAAAAUUAGAGUGUUUAAAGCAGGCCUUCGCCUUGAAUACAUUAGCAUGGAAUAAUAAGAUAGGACUUGGGUCUAUUUUGUUGGUUUGCAGACCGAAGUAAUGAUUAAUAGGGAUAGUUGGGGUAUUUAUAUUCCGAUGGUCAGAGGUGAAAUUCUUAGAUUUUCGGAAGAUAAAUCUUAUGCGAAAGCAUU